AUCAAGCGAUAAAAUUAAAUUAAAUUUGAAUAGUACCCCGCUUCCAGAUAAAAGAAAAAAUCAAAGAAGAAAGCAAUAAAUAAUUAAGGAAAAAAAAAGAAAAAAGAAUAGCACAAAAUUUAUGGUAAAACAAUUCAAACUAUAACCGAUAACUUUUGCAACCAAUCCAAUUCCAAUAGUUAAAUAGCAAAAGAAUUAUGUUAAAACAUUAAUCUGUGGCCUCGGCCUAAUGUCACGAGACAACAGUGUAAAGAAUAAAAUCAGUAGAAUCAUUCAUCCCAGAACCACCAGCCUUGGAGCCAAAACGUCCCAUCAAAACUGCCGAAUCAUCGGUAAUGCCGCGACCCAAAAACCCAUCAAGAGGGUGGUUGUGGGAGGACCGUUCAUGGUGGUGGUGACCACCAUCUUGACUUGCCGGAGGAUGGUAAUACAAUCUUGCAGUUUGUGGGCAGUGGGAAUGAAACCUUGCAGCUAUUCUGACACCUGCAUCCAAUAAUUCCAUGUAUUUUGCCAUUUCUUGAUUGGUUGAUUGAUUCCUUUCCUUUCUCUCUUUGAUGAUUUUAUGACAAAAUCUUCUUGGAGAAAGAGAGAGAGAGAGAGGAAAGGAAGAAUAAAAAAGAGAAAAGAGAAAUGAAAAAAAAAUGGAAUUUGUUAGAAAACGUCCCAAACCUCAGAGCCCAUAAAAUGGGAGAAUGUUAUGUGAAUGCUUGUGAGGGAAUUUAGGUC
Molecule: long non-coding RNA, 726 nt
Filed under: Coffea arabica (coffee)
Lineage: Eukaryota; Viridiplantae; Streptophyta; Magnoliopsida; Gentianales; Rubiaceae
Description: long non-coding RNA (CARA_LNC001741)
Source: RNAcentral